RNAcentral lists this ribosomal RNA (254 nucleotides) under uncultured bacterium. RNAcentral describes it as "partial 16S ribosomal RNA". It matches the Rfam family "Bacterial small subunit ribosomal RNA", at positions 524 to 776 of the family's 1533-position model. The record is from RNAcentral.
CACGUAGGGUGCGAGCGUUGUCCGGAAUUAUUGGGCGUAAAGAGCUCGUAGGCGGUGUGUCACGUCGUUCGUGAAAACCUGCAGCUUAACUGUGGGCGUGCGGUCGAUACGGGCAUCACUGGAGUUCGGCAGGGGAGACUGGAAUUCCUGGUGUAGCGGUGAAAUGCGCAGAUAUCUGGAGGAAUACCGGUGGCGAAGGCGGCAUCCUGGACCAUUACUGACGCUGAGGCGCGAAAGCUAGGGGAGCAAACGGG